This is a long non-coding RNA of Melitaea cinxia (Glanville fritillary), 600 nucleotides long. RefSeq lists it as uncharacterized. The record is from RefSeq and is a predicted model, not a curated record. NCBI's taxonomy places the organism in Eukaryota, Metazoa, Arthropoda, Insecta, Lepidoptera, Nymphalidae. The transcript is spliced from 4 exons.
UUUUAACUUUUUUUUUUUAUGAUGACGACUUUUGUAUCGCCCCUAUCUGAUCAUCUGAUGAUUGAUUUAUUCUGAACUAAAAAAUAAUAUUAUAUAAUUAUUAAAGUAUACAAAAAUAGCAAAACAUAUUUCUUAAUGGUUUUUCAUUUUCAGGUAAUCAAGCAGAUAAAAUAUAAAUUUUUUAUCUAUACUGAAGUCUUAAAAUCACAAAAAUUAGAAAAGCUGCUUAUUGAAAAAUCAAUGAGACAAUGUCAUAUGUAUGGAGGUGUUAAAGUUUACGGAUAACUUAAUCAAACACAAUUUUAUUGGGGGAAGAGAAUGCUCUAAUAUCCAGACAGUCAAUGAGGCGUUAUUUGCACUCCUGAGGUUAACCACAUGCGAGGGGAGGUCCAAAAGCUCGUGGGAGACAUUAGGGAUAGAGUCGUUAGUAUAUAAAUUGAGUUUCAUCCCUAUUACGUCAUUCACUGACGAAUACCAACACUCGCCUGCUAAACAAGUCAAUCCGGAAGAAAAAAUCAAACAAAGGAGAAAAUUGAAAACCAUGCUGUGAUAAAAUUCCUUACCAAGCAAGGAAAGAACGCUCAGACCAUUUUGAAUGAA